CGCGCAGGCUGUAGAUCAAGUCAGCUGUGAAAUGUCUGGGCUUAACCCGGGCAUGCGGUUGAAACUGAUGUACUGGAGUGCUGUAGAGGCAAGUGGAAUUCCCAGUGUAGCGGUGAAAUGCGUAGAUAUUGGGAAGAACACCGGUGGCGAAGGCGACUUGCUGGGCAGCAACUGACGCUGAGGCGCGAAAGCCAGGGGAGCAAACG
Molecule: ribosomal RNA, 206 nt
Filed under: uncultured Synergistaceae bacterium
Lineage: Bacteria; Thermotogati; Synergistota; Synergistia; Synergistales; Synergistaceae
Description: partial 16S ribosomal RNA
Rfam family: Bacterial small subunit ribosomal RNA
Source: RNAcentral